This 409-nucleotide ribosomal RNA is filed under the name uncultured bacterium. RNAcentral's name for it is "bacterial SSU rRNA". It matches the Rfam family "Bacterial small subunit ribosomal RNA", at positions 94 to 518 of the family's 1533-position model. The record is from RNAcentral.
AGUGGCGGACGGGUGAGUAACACGUGAGCAAUCUGCCUCUAAGUGGGGGAAUAACGACUGGAAACGGUCGGUAAUACCGACAUAACAGUAGCCGAACCGCAUGAUUUGGUUAUCAAAGAUUUAUCGCUUAGAGAUGAGCUCGCGUCUGAUUAGCUAGUUGGUGAGGUAACGGCCCACCAAGGCGACGAUCAGUAGCCGGACUGAGAGGUUGAACGGCCACAUUGGGACUGAGACACGGCCCAGACUCCUACGGGAGGCAGCAGUGGGGAAUAUUGCACAAUGGGCGCAAGCCUGAUGCAGCGAUGCCGCGUGAGGGAAGAAGGUUUUCGGAUUGUAAACCUCUGUUGACAGGGACGAUAAUGACGGUACCUGUUCAGAAAGCUCCGGCUAACUACGUGCCAGCCGCGGC